UAAAUUGAAAUGAAAGGCGAAUGAUAGAGACAUUGUUCGAACUAAAGACUUUUCACUCUUGAUACCAAUCAUUACUUGUUCAAAAGUUUAAGAUAAUAAAAAAUGAUAAAUUUAAUAUUCUAACAUAUUUACCAAAUCAUUUAAGAAAACAAACAUAGUUAUGGUCUUCCUGUAGAUGCACAUGAACCCUUUUCCCUCUAUGAGACAGCUUAAUAUGAAUAGAUACAACACAUUCACGUACCCUCUUCCCCCACCUUUUUUUCUUUUUUCUUUUUUCCUUUUGUAAUACAGAUAAGAUUAUGUAAAAAUUGCAAAAUAAUGGUACAUGAAUUCUCUAAUGUCCAUCCGUUUCACCUUUGCUCCACCAAACACAGAUUUAUAUUCAGAAGACGGGACCAGCUGCAAGGAUCUCCUCAGUCAGCUUGUUAUCCUCUCCAAUCUUGUAAUUCAGGAAU
Molecule: long non-coding RNA, 455 nt
Organism: Alnus glutinosa
Lineage: Eukaryota; Viridiplantae; Streptophyta; Magnoliopsida; Fagales; Betulaceae
Exons: 2
Source: RefSeq, a predicted model, not a curated record